UACGGAGGGUGCAAGCGUUAUCCGGAUUCACUGGGUUUAAAGGGUGCGUAGGCGGAUAGGUAAGUCCGUGGUGAAAUCCUGCAGCUUAACUGCAGAACUGCCGUGGAUACUAUCUAUCUUGAAUGUCGUGAAGGUUAGCGGAAUAUGUCAUGUAGCGGUGAAAUGCUUAGAUAUGACAUAGAACACCCAUUGCGAAGGCAGCUAACUACGCGAUAAUUGACGCUGAUGCACGAAAGCGUGGGGAUCAAACAGG
RNAcentral lists this ribosomal RNA (253 nucleotides) under uncultured bacterium. RNAcentral describes it as "partial 16S ribosomal RNA". It matches the Rfam family "Bacterial small subunit ribosomal RNA", at positions 524 to 776 of the family's 1533-position model. The record is from RNAcentral.